UGGGGCGUGAACCUGGCAUACAAUGUAGAUUUCUGUGUUUCUAGGGCAACAGCUACAUUGUCUGCUGGGUUUCAGGCUACCUGG
Molecule: non-coding RNA, 84 nt
Organism: Ailuropoda melanoleuca (giant panda)
Lineage: Eukaryota; Metazoa; Chordata; Mammalia; Carnivora; Ursidae
Source: Rfam